UUAAGUGACUAAGCGUACACGGUGGAUGCCUUGGCAGUCAGAGGCGAUGAAAGACGUAGUAACUUGCGAUAAGCCCAGAUUAGGUAGUAACAACCAUUUGAGUCUGGGAUUUCUGAAUGGGGAAACCCACGUGCAUAAGCACGUAUCCUUACCUGAAUACAUAGGGUAAGGAGGCGAACCGGGGGAACUGAAACAUCUAAGUACCCCGAGGAAAAGAAAUCAACCGAGAUUCCGAAAGUAGCGGCGAGCGAAAUUGGACUAGCCCUUAAGCUUUACACGCGUUAGACGAACGGUCUGGAAAGUCCGACGAUACAGGGUGAUAGUCCCGUAGUUGACGACGUGUGUUCAGUGAAAUCGAGUAGGGCGGGACACGUGAUAUCCUGUCUGAAUAUGGGGGGACCAUCCUCCAAGGCUAAAUACUACUGACUGACCGAUAGUGAACCAGUACCGUGAGGGAAAGGCGAAAAGAACCCCUGUGAGGGGAGUGAAAUAGAACCUGAAACCGUGUACGUACAAGCAGUAGGAGCAGGCUUUGUCCUGUGACUGCGUACCUUUUGUAUAAUGGGUCAGCGACUUAUAUUCAGUGGCAAGGUUAACCAUCUAGGGGAGCCGUAGGGAAACCGAGUCUUAACUGGGCGUUCAGUCUCUGGAUAUAGACCCGAAACCAGGUGAUCUAGCCAUGGGCAGGUUGAAGGUUGAGUAACAUCAACUGGAGGACCGAACCGACUAAUGUUGAAAAAUUAGCGGAUGACUUGUGGCUAGGGGUGAAAGGCCAAUCAAACCUGGAGAUAGCUGGUUCUCCCCGAAAGCUAUUUAGGUAGCGCCUCGGACGAAUACUACUGGGGGUAGAGCACUGUUAAGGCUAGGGGGUCAUCCCGACUUACCAACCCUUUGCAAACUCCGAAUACCAGUAAGUACUAUCCGGGAGACACACGGCGGGUGCUAACGUCCGUCGUGGAGAGGGAAACAACCCAGACCGCCAGCUAAGGUCCCAAAUUACUACUAAGUGGGAAACGAUGUGGGAAGGCUCAGACAGCCAGGAUGUUGGCUUAGAAGCAGCCAUCAUUUAAAGAAAGCGUAAUAGCUCACUGGUCGAGUCGGCCUGCGCGGAAGAUGUAACGGGGCUAAGUAGUAAACCGAAGCUGCGGCAAUGUGCUUUUGCACAUUGGGUAGGGGAGCGUUCUGUAAGCGGUUGAAGGUGUGUGGUAACGCAUGCUGGACGUAUCAGAAGUGCGAAUGCUGACAUGAGUAACGAUAAAGGGGGUGAAAAACCUCCUCGCCGGAAGACCAAGGGUUCCUGUCCAACGUUAAUCGGGGCAGGGUAAGUCGACCCCUAAGGCGAGGCCGAAAGGCGUAGUCGAUGGGAAACGGGUUAAUAUUCCCGUACUUCUUACAAUUGCGAUGGGGGGACGGAGAAGGCUAGGUGGGCCUGGCGACGGUUGUCCAGGUUCAAGUGCGUAGGCUUGAGAGUUAGGUAAAUCCGGCUCUCUUUAAGGCUGAGACACGACGUCGAGCCACUACGGUGGUGAAGUCAUUGAUGCCAUGCUUCCAGGAAAAGCCUCUAAGCUUCAGAUUGUAAGGAAUCGUACCCCAAACCGACACAGGUGGUCGGGUAGAGAAUACCAAGGCGCUUGAGAGAACUCGGGUGAAGGAACUAGGCAAAAUGGUACCGUAACUUCGGGAGAAGGUACGCUCUCGACGGUGAAGUCCCUUGCGGAUGGAGCUAUUGAGAGUCGCAGAUACCAGGUGGCUGCAACUGUUUAUUAAAAACACAGCACUGUGCAAAAUCGUAAGAUGACGUAUACGGUGUGACGCCUGCCCGGUGCCGGAAGGUUAAUUGAUGGGGUUAGACUUCGGUCGAAGCUCUUGAUCGAAGCCCCGGUAAACGGCGGCCGUAACUAUAACGGUCCUAAGGUAGCGAAAUUCCUUGUCGGGUAAGUUCCGACCUGCACGAAUGGCGUAAUGAUGGCCACGCUGUCUCCACCCGAGACUCAGUGAAAUUGAAAUCGCUGUGAAGAUGCAGUGUACCCGCGGCUAGACGGAAAGACCCCGUGAACCUUUACUACAGCUUGGCACUGAACAUUGACCCUACAUGUGUAGGAUAGGUGGGAGGCUUUGAAGCACGUACGCCAGUAUGUGUGGAGCCGUCCUUGAAAUACCACCCUUGUAGUGUUGAUGUUCUAACGUUGACCCCUAAUCGGGGUUGCGGACAGUGCCUGGUGGGUAGUUUGACUGGGGCGGUCUCCUCCCAAAGAGUAACGGAGGAGCACGAAGGUGGGCUAAUCACGGUUGGACAUCGUGAGGUUAGUGCAAUGGCAUAAGCCCGCUUGACUGCGAGAAUGACAAUUCGAGCAGGUGCGAAAGCAGGUCAUAGUGAUCCGGUGGUUCUGAAUGGAAGGGCCAUCGCUCAACGGAUAAAAGGUACUCCGGGGAUAACAGGCUGAUACCGCCCAAGAGUUCAUAUCGACGGCGGUGUUUGGCACCUCGAUGUCGGCUCAUCACAUCCUGGGGCUGAAGUCGGUCCCAAGGGUAUGGCUGUUCGCCAUUUAAAGUGGUACGCGAGCUGGGUUUAGAACGUCGUGAGACAGUUCGGUCCCUAUCUGCCGUGGGCGUUGGAAGAUUGAAGGGGGCUGCUCCUAGUACGAGAGGACCGGAGUGGACGAACCUCUGGUGUUCGGGUUGUGUCGCCAGACGCAUUGCCCGGUAGCUAAGUUCGGAAUCGAUAACCGCUGAAAGCAUCUAAGCGGGAAGCGAGCCCUGAGAUGAGUCUUCCCUGAUACUUUAAGUAUCCUAAAGGGUUGUCGGAGACUACGACGUUGAUAGGUCAGGUGUGUAAGUGCUGUGAGGCAUUGAGCUAACUGAUACUAAUUGCCCGUGAGGCUUAACCAU
Molecule: ribosomal RNA, 2889 nt
Filed under: Vibrio parahaemolyticus
Lineage: Bacteria; Pseudomonadati; Pseudomonadota; Gammaproteobacteria; Vibrionales; Vibrionaceae
Description: bacterial LSU rRNA
Rfam family: Bacterial large subunit ribosomal RNA
Source: RNAcentral